Molecule: ribosomal RNA, 520 nt
Filed under: uncultured bacterium
Lineage: Bacteria
Description: bacterial SSU rRNA
Rfam family: Bacterial small subunit ribosomal RNA
Source: RNAcentral
AGAGUUUGAUUAUGGCUCAGGAUGAACGCUAGCUACAGGCUUAACACAUGCAAGUCGAGGGGCAGCAUUGGAGUAGCAAUACUUCAGAUGGCGACCGGCGCACGGGUGAGUAACACGUAUCCAACCUGCCGCUUACUCGGGGAUAGCCUUUCGAAAGAAAGAUUAAUACCCGAUGGUAUAAAGAGUUCGCAUGUUCUCUUUAUUAAAGAAUUUCGGUAAGCGAUGGGGAUGCGUUCCAUUAGAUUGUUGGCGGGGUAACGGCCCACCAAGUCUACGAUGGAUAGGGGUUCUGAGAGGAAGGUCCCCCACAUUGGAACUGAGACACGGUCCAAACUCCUACGGGAGGCAGCAGUGAGGAAUAUUGGUCAAUGGACGAGAGUCUGAACCAGCCAAAAGUAGCGUGAAGGAUGACUGCCCUAUGGGUUGUAAACUUCUUUUAUAAGGGAAUAAAGUGAGGGACGUGUCCCUUUUUGUAUGUACCUUAUGAAUAAGGAUCGGCUAACUCCGUGCCAGCCGCCGC